GCCGGGUUGGCGAAAUCGGCAAACGCGGAAGCCUCAAAAGCUUUUGCCCGUAAGGGCUUGCGGGUUCAAGUCCCGCACCCGGCACCA
This 87-nucleotide transfer RNA is filed under the name Streptomyces sp. R301. Its description in RNAcentral is "tRNA-Leu". It matches the Rfam family "tRNA". Rfam says of the family: Transfer RNA (tRNA) molecules are approximately 80 nucleotides in length. Their secondary structure includes four short double-helical elements and three loops (D, anti-codon, and T loops). Further hydrogen bonds mediate the characteristic L-shaped molecular structure. tRNAs have two regions of fundamental functional importance: the anti-codon, which is responsible for specific mRNA codon recognition, and the 3' end, to which the tRNAs corresponding amino acid is attached (by aminoacyl-tRNA synthetases). tRNAs cope with the degeneracy of the genetic code in two manners: having more than one tRNA (with a specific anti-codon) for a particular amino acid; and 'wobble' base-pairing, i.e. permitting non-standard base-pairing at the 3rd anti-codon position. RNAcentral also lists the same sequence under 1 other name. Lineage: Bacteria; Bacillati; Actinomycetota; Actinomycetes; Kitasatosporales; Streptomycetaceae. The record is from RNAcentral.